This is a non-coding RNA of Pelobates cultripes (western spadefoot toad), 272 nucleotides long. The record is from the annotation of a GenBank genome assembly. NCBI's taxonomy places the organism in Eukaryota, Metazoa, Chordata, Amphibia, Anura, Pelobatidae.
GUGAGAGUUAUGAGAAUACUACCACAGUCCUCUCCCGACCAGCCCACCCAGUGGGGAUCAUUUACUAAACUAGGAACUUUGUAGAGUAGUAAGGGGAAGCAGAUUUCAGGACAAAACAGCCAAAAUUAAACCAUUUUCCAACUUUGUUGGCAGCUAUUUCACUCUAUAAAUGUGUCAUUUGUUUGCGCUCUUCAAUUCCCAGAUUAGUGAAAUCUUAAUUUCUCUUAAAAUUACACCACUGAAUAAACUGUUGAACAUCACCCAUAACUGGG